GUGUCAGCAGCCGCGGUAAUACGAAGGGGGCUAGCGUUGUUCGGAAUCACUGGGCGUAAAGGGCGCGUAGGCGGCUUUAUAAGUCGGGGGUGAAAGCCUGUGGCUCAACCACAGAAUUGCCUUCGAUACUGUAGAGCUUGAGACCGGAAGAGGUAAGUGGAACUGCGAGUGUAGAGGUGAAAUUCGUAGAUAUUCGCAAGAACACCAGUGGCGAAGGCGGCUUACUGGUCCGGUUCUGACGCUGAGGCGCGAAAGCGUGGGGAGCAAACAGGAUUAGAUACCCCCGUAGUCC
RNAcentral lists this ribosomal RNA (292 nucleotides) under uncultured bacterium. RNAcentral describes it as "partial 16S ribosomal RNA". It matches the Rfam family "Bacterial small subunit ribosomal RNA", at positions 505 to 796 of the family's 1533-position model. The record is from RNAcentral.